This 253-nucleotide ribosomal RNA is filed under the name uncultured bacterium. RNAcentral's name for it is "partial 16S ribosomal RNA". It matches the Rfam family "Bacterial small subunit ribosomal RNA", at positions 524 to 776 of the family's 1533-position model. The record is from RNAcentral.
UACGUAGGGGGCUAGCGUUGUCCGGAAUCAUUGGGCGUAAAGCGCGUGUAGGCGGCCCGGUAAGUCCGCUGUGAAAGUCGGGGGCUCAACCCUCGGAAGCCGGUGGAUACUGUCGGGCUCGAGUACGGAAGAGGCGAGUGGAAUUCCUGGUGUAGCGGUGAAAUGCGUAGAUACUGGGAGGAACACCGGUGGCGAAGGCGGCUACCUGGACCGGUUCUGACGCUGAUGCGCGAAAGCGUGGGUAGCAAACAGG